GCCGAUGUGGCGGAAUAGGCAGACGCAAGGGACUUAAAAUCCCUCGCUGGCAACAGUGUACCGGUUCAAGUCCGGUCAUCGGCA
Molecule: transfer RNA, 84 nt
Filed under: Oscillospiraceae bacterium
Lineage: Bacteria; Bacillati; Bacillota; Clostridia; Eubacteriales; Oscillospiraceae
Description: tRNA-Leu
Rfam family: tRNA
About the family: Transfer RNA (tRNA) molecules are approximately 80 nucleotides in length. Their secondary structure includes four short double-helical elements and three loops (D, anti-codon, and T loops). Further hydrogen bonds mediate the characteristic L-shaped molecular structure. tRNAs have two regions of fundamental functional importance: the anti-codon, which is responsible for specific mRNA codon recognition, and the 3' end, to which the tRNAs corresponding amino acid is attached (by aminoacyl-tRNA synthetases). tRNAs cope with the degeneracy of the genetic code in two manners: having more than one tRNA (with a specific anti-codon) for a particular amino acid; and 'wobble' base-pairing, i.e. permitting non-standard base-pairing at the 3rd anti-codon position.
Source: RNAcentral